AAGACUUUCUUUCAUUAUACUAUGCUUUUCUCUAUGUUCUCCCAUGUUGCUCAGGAGAAGUUCAUGAGUGGAGCUGUUUGUAAUGGGUAAUGGUGGUCUAUGUUUCAGCUUGGGCCUCGUGUGUAUUUCGUCUUUGAAGAGCAGAAUAUCUUAUAGGAGCUCCCAUGGGACCGAAGGUGCGUUUUCCUUCUUUGAGGAGAAGUGAUAUGGAAACC
Molecule: long non-coding RNA, 215 nt
Filed under: Scophthalmus maximus (turbot)
Lineage: Eukaryota; Metazoa; Chordata; Actinopteri; Pleuronectiformes; Scophthalmidae
Description: lncRNA (ENSSMAG00000025087.1)
Source: RNAcentral